GGAAUCUUCCGCAAUGGGCGCAAGCCUGACGGAGCAACGCCGCGUGAGUGAUGAAGGUUCUCGGAUCGUAAAGCUCUGUUGCCAAAGAAGAAAGGCCAGGAGAGUAACUGCUCUUGGUUUGACGGUAUUUGAGAAGAAAGCCCCGGCUAACUACGUGCCAGCAGCCGCGGUAAUACGUAGGGGGCAAGCGUUGUCCGGAAUUAUUGGGCGUAAAGCGCGCGCAGGCGGCCGUUUAAGUCUGGUGUAUAACCCCGGGGCUCAACCCCGGGUCGCAUCGGAAACUGGAGGGCUUGAGUGCAGGAGAGGGAAGUGGAAUUCCACGUGUAGCGGUGAAAUGCGUAGAGAUGUGGAGGAACACCAGUGGCGAAGGCGACUUCCUGGCCUGUAACUGACGCUGAGGCGCGAAAGCGUGGGGAGCAAA
Molecule: ribosomal RNA, 421 nt
Filed under: uncultured bacterium
Lineage: Bacteria
Description: bacterial SSU rRNA
Rfam family: Bacterial small subunit ribosomal RNA
Source: RNAcentral